GGUACUAUAAAUAGCUGUCUCCUGUCACUUGCGCAGGGGUGGGGAAGUAAGGAAGAAGGUCUGGGCUUGUAUUAUUGUGUUACUGUAAACGAAAGAAGUCAGGAUGAAGGCCUAUCUUUGUUUCCAUCCAAUGUGGAAAAUGAUGGUGACAAGUCACUUUAUCACUUGGGGUCCACCCUUUAUUUUGAGUUGCAUAGUGCCAAUGCCCAAAGCAAUGCCGAAGCUGAGGAUGGCGCAGUAUCAACGGGCAUGAGUGUAA
Molecule: unclassified non-coding RNA, 259 nt
Filed under: Hevea brasiliensis (rubber tree)
Lineage: Eukaryota; Viridiplantae; Streptophyta; Magnoliopsida; Malpighiales; Euphorbiaceae
Source: RNAcentral